This 231-nucleotide long non-coding RNA is filed under the name Dendronephthya gigantea. RNAcentral describes it as "uncharacterized LOC114527538, transcript variant X2". Lineage: Eukaryota; Metazoa; Cnidaria; Anthozoa; Malacalcyonacea; Nephtheidae. The record is from RNAcentral.
UGUUCCUAUUAAUAUAAAGAUUGAAUCAAAUAAAAGUGAAGGAUAAGGAUGUUGAGAAGAAAGAGAUUACUUGAUUACAAUGGGAUUACUUCACUACAAGUCAUUGGUGGCGAUCGAAGGUGGACAGCAAGAUCGAAGCUCAGCAAGAUUGAAGAUUGUUCGAGGAAGAAGGAGUUCGCCGUUGACUAAAAGGUUUAUCUGAACAGCUAGUUGUCAAGAUGAACGUGAAGA